CGACCCUUCGGGGUGAGUGGCGCACGGGUGCGUAACGCGUGGGAACCUGCCCUUAGGUUUGGAAUAACUCAGAGAAAUUUGAGCUAAUACCAAAUAAUGUCUUCGGACCAAAGAUUUAUCGCCUUUGGAUGGGCCCGCGUAGGAUUAGCUUGUUGGUGAGGUAAAGGCUCACCAAGGCGACGAUCCUUAGCUGGUCUUAGAGGAUGAUCAGCCACACUGGGACUGAGACACGGCCCAGACUCCUACGGGAGGCAGCAGUGGGGAAUAUUGGACAAUGGGCGAAAGCCUGAUCCAGCAAUGCCGCGUGAGUGAUGAAGGCCUUAGGGUUGUAAAGCUCUUUUACCCGGGAUGAUAAUGACAGUACCGGGAGAAUAAGCCCCGGCUAACUCCGUGCCAGCAGCCGCGGUAAUACGGAGGGGGCUAGCGUUGUUCGGAAAUACUGGGCGUAAAGCGCACGUAGGCGGCGCCGUAAGUCAGGGGUGAAAUCCCGGGGCUCAACCCCGGAACUGCCCUUGAAACUGCAGUGCUAGAAUCUUGGAGAGGCGAGUGGAAUUCCGAGUGUAGAGGUGAAAUUCGUAGAUAUUCGGAAGAACACCAGUGGCGAAGGCGACUCGCUGGACAA
Molecule: ribosomal RNA, 622 nt
Filed under: Aurantiacibacter suaedae
Lineage: Bacteria; Pseudomonadati; Pseudomonadota; Alphaproteobacteria; Sphingomonadales; Erythrobacteraceae
Description: bacterial SSU rRNA
Rfam family: Bacterial small subunit ribosomal RNA
Source: RNAcentral